RNAcentral lists this ribosomal RNA (465 nucleotides) under Vreelandella stevensii. RNAcentral's name for it is "partial 16S ribosomal RNA". It matches the Rfam family "Bacterial small subunit ribosomal RNA", at positions 338 to 795 of the family's 1533-position model. Lineage: Bacteria; Pseudomonadati; Pseudomonadota; Gammaproteobacteria; Oceanospirillales; Halomonadaceae. The record is from RNAcentral.
CCUACGGGUGGCUGCAGUGGGGAAUAUUGGACAAUGGGGGGAACCCUGAUCCAGCCAUGCCGCGUGUGUGAAGAAGGCCCUCGGGUUGUAAAGCACUUUCAGUGAGGAAGAACGCCUGGUGGUUAAUACCCAUCAGGAAAGACAUCACUCACAGAAGAAGCACCGGCUAACUCCGUGCCAGCAGCCGCGGUAAUACGGAGGGUGCGAGCGUUAAUCGGAAUUACUGGGCGUAAAGCGCGCGUAGGUGGCUUGAUAAGCCGGUUGUGAAAGCCCCGGGCUCAACCUGGGAACGGCAUCCGGAACUGUCAAGCUAGAGUGCAGGAGAGGAAGGUAGAAUUCCCGGUGUAGCGGUGAAAUGCGUAGAGAUCGGGAGGAAUACCAGUGGCGAAGGCGGCCUUCUGGACUGACACUGACACUGAGGUGCGAAAGCGUGGGUAGCAAACAGGAUUAGAUACCCUUGUAGUC